Vigna radiata var. radiata (mung bean) is the source of this 1834-nucleotide RNA transcript. It is a transcript of the gene named E3 ubiquitin-protein ligase RING1-like, with no coding region annotated. The record is from RefSeq and is a predicted model, not a curated record. Lineage: Eukaryota; Viridiplantae; Streptophyta; Magnoliopsida; Fabales; Fabaceae. The transcript is spliced from 3 exons.
CGCGUGACUUUAUCCUCCGUUUACCGACUCAGAUUUUCCACGUUCAGAGUAUUUACGAUAUUGCCACCGCUCUCUUUUCCUUCUCCCUGUUCUGUUGUCUUCCGAUACAAUUUCUUCUCCCAUUUCCUUCUCUCGUUAUCUUCCUUUAUCUCUCCUUUUUUCCGUUGACAUGUCUUCUGCCGGCGGCGACGGUACCUCCGGCGAGCCUCGCCAAUACUUCUGUCACCAGUGCAAUCGCACCGUUUCUGUUACCCCUUCCCCGUCCUCCGAUCUUCUCUGCCCCAAUUGCAACGGCGGCUUCCUCGAAGAACUCGAAAUCCCUAACCCUAACCCUAUCCCUAUCCCGUCCAAUCCUUUCUUCCCCGACUUCCCUCUCACCGGGACCACCGCCAUUCCUCUCAUCUUCCCUGGAGGAACUGGCCAGCCCUUCGACGAUUUCUCCACCCUCUCCGGCACUCGAUCUGACGCCGCCACCGCCGAUACUGCCCUCGCCCCCUUUGUGCUCCUCCAGAACUACUUGCAAACCCUAAGAGCCGCUGGCGGCGGUGGAAACCUUCAACUGGUGAUUGAGUCCGGCGACCCCGGCGGAGCGUUUCGGUUUCCUGGCAUCACCCACGGUGACUACUUCUUCGGGACGGGCCUUGAGGAGCUGAUCCAGCACCUUGCCGAGAACGAUCCGAACCGCUAUGGCACCCCACCGGCUUCUAAGAAGGCGGUGGAGGGGCUGCCGGACGUCUCCGUCACCGACGAGCUGCUUGCGUCGGAUUCCUCACAAUGUGCAGUGUGCAAAGACACGUUCGAACUCGGUGAAACCGCGAAGCAGAUGCCCUGUAAGCAUAUAUAUCACGCGGACUGCAUUUUACCUUGGUUAGAAUUGCAUAAUUCCUGUCCCGUUUGUCGGUAUGAGCUGCCCACAGAUGAUCCUGAUUACGAGCAGAGGGCUCAUCGUGGUAGCGGUGGCGGUAGUGGAGGCGGUAGUGGUGGUACCGGCAGUGGGGUGGCUCCCCAGGUGAAUUGGAACCUGGCUGUGGGGCCUGGUGGUUCUGCGGAUUCGUCUGGUGGAGGAGACAAUUCCCAGCGGAGGAGGUUUAGGGUGGCUUUGCCAUGGCCCUUCAGGCAAUCUGUUUCUUCUGGUGCUGAGACAAGUAAUGUUGGCGGUGCCAACAAUGAUGACAACAGUAUAAAUGGUGGGGAAACCAAUAGUGGGCAAUCAAAUUCUGAAAACAGGGGAAAUCGGAACUUUGAGUCGGAGACCAGACAGGAAGAUCUAGAUUGAGAAGCACUCGUGUUUGAUAUGCUACCUUCAUUAAUUUGCUUUCAUGUUUCAGUGCUGCUAAGAUGACACUGACUGCAAAAAAAUUUCUGCACUGCCUGAUCUUGAUGGCAUACUUGUUGCCCUAUAGUGAAUUUGAAUUGGAUUAGACCAAACCCUUUUAAUUGGGCAGGUAUGUGGAGUUUUUCAAAUUUGCAGCAUUUGUUGAAUAGAAAUGAUGUUAAAUAUCAAUUAGUGGUUCGUGACAGUUGAAAAUGUUAUAUUGGAUUAUAAUGAAUUUGUGCAACUGUCCAUCACCAUUUUUUGAGUUCUUUAUAUAACUAGAUCAAUACCUGUACGAUGCACAGGCAGAAAAAGAAAAUUAAACCAGUGGCCCGUAUUUUUAUCAAGAGUUUGUGUAUAAGUAAUAAAAAAAUUACGCAAAAGAUGUGUAGGUCCAUAAUGCACAAAAAACCAACACGUGGAUGAGUAGAAAGUGGUUGGAUAGAAUUUAUAAUACUGCUACUAUUGAUGAUAUGUACAUUACUAUUGGUUCAAUAUUUUCUGAAUUUUUGUUUUUUA